AACGAACGCUGGCGGCAUGCCUAACACAUGCAAGUCGAACGAGACCUUCGGGUCUAGUGGCGCACGGGUGCGUAACGCGUGGGAACCUGCCCUUAGGUUCGGAAUAACUCCCCGAAAGGGGUGCUAAUACCGGAUAAUGUCUUCGGACCAAAGAUUUAUCGCCUUUGGAUGGGCCCGCGUUGGAUUAGCUAGUUGGUAGGGUAAAAGCCUACCAAGGCGACGAUCCAUAGCUGGUCUGAGAGGAUGAUCAGCCACACUGGGACUGAGACACGGCCCAGACUCCUACGGGAGGCGGCAGUGGGGAAUAUUGGACAGUGGGCGAAAGCCUGAUCCAGCAAUGCCGCGUGAGUGAUGAAGGCCUUAGGGUUGUAAAGCUCUUUUACCCGGGAUGAUAAUGACAGUACCGGGAGAAUAAGCUCCGGCUAACUCCGUG
RNAcentral lists this ribosomal RNA (433 nucleotides) under uncultured bacterium. RNAcentral describes it as "partial 16S ribosomal RNA". It matches the Rfam family "Bacterial small subunit ribosomal RNA", at positions 29 to 507 of the family's 1533-position model. The record is from RNAcentral.